This 396-nucleotide ribosomal RNA is filed under the name uncultured bacterium. RNAcentral describes it as "partial 16S ribosomal RNA". It matches the Rfam family "Bacterial small subunit ribosomal RNA", at positions 360 to 774 of the family's 1533-position model. The record is from RNAcentral.
AAUCUUCCACAAUGGACGGAAGUCUGAUGGAGCAACGCCGCGUGAGCGAAGAAGUCCUNCGGGUCNUNAAGCUCUGUCCUAAGGGNAGAAACGGACGGUACCUUAGGAGGAAGCCCCGGCUAACUACGUGCCAGCAGCCGCGGUAAUACGUAGGGGGCGAGCGUUAUCCGGAAUUAUUGGGCGUAAAGGGUGCGUAGGCGGCCUUUUAAGUCAGAUGUGAAAGGCUACGGCUUAACCGUAGUUAGCAUUUGAAACUAAAAGGCUUGAGUGCAGGAGAGGAGAGUGGAAUUCCUAGUGUAGCGGUGAAAUGCGUAGAUAUUAGGAGGAACACCAGUGGCGAAGGCGACUCUCUGGACUGCAACUGACGCUGAGGCACGAAAGCGUGGGGAGCGAACA